Molecule: ribosomal RNA, 497 nt
Filed under: uncultured bacterium
Lineage: Bacteria
Description: partial 16S ribosomal RNA
Rfam family: Bacterial small subunit ribosomal RNA
Source: RNAcentral
GAUGAACGCUGGCGGCGUGCCUAAUACAUGCAAGUCGAGCGAACAGACGAGGAGCUUGCUCCUCUGACGUUAGCGGCGGACGGGUGAGUAACACGUGGAUAACCUACCUAUAAGACUGGGAUAACUUCGGGAAACCGGAGCUAAUACCGGAUAAUAUAUUGAACCGCAUGGUUCAAUAGUGAAAGACGGUUUUGCUGUCACUUAUAGAUGGAUCCGCGCCGCAUUAGCUAGUUGGUAAGGUAACGGCUUACCAAGGCAACGAUGCGUAGCCGACCUGAGAGGGUGAUCGGCCACACUGCAACUGAGACACGGCCCAGACUCCUACGGGAGGCAGCAGUAGGGAAUCUUCCGCAAUGGGCGGAAGCCUGCCGGAGCAACGCCGCGUGAGUGAUGAAGGUCUUCGGAUCGUAAAACUCUGUUAUUAGGGAAGAACAAAUGUGUAAGUAACUAUGCACGUCUUGACGGUACCUAAUCAGAAAGCCACGGCUAACUACGUG